CAAAAAUUUUCUGAGUCAACGAAGCUUUUUUUGCCAUUUACUCCACUAUUCAAUUUGAGCUAAUGAUUAUGAAAGUCUACUUCCUCAAUAUUUGCUGGUUUUUCUCCAGAUUUGGUGGAUGGAAGAUGGCAGAACUUUUUGUAAAUUUCUGGCCUUUAUUUGUCAGCAGCCUGUUGUUCAUUGUUUUUCUUGUGAAAUAUAAGAAAUAUGGUAGCAGUACUCGAGAGAAGUGUAAGUUGCCUCCGGGAGGAAGAGGUUGGCCGAUUGUUGGCGAUAGUAUCAGUUGGUACAAUGCUGUUGCAAGUUCUCAUCCGCCUAGUUUCGUCGAGAAACAGGUUGAAAGGUACUUAAUUACAAAGUUCUUCUUUGUUUCUUUGUGGUUUUAGUCAUAGAAUUUACCAAUGUAGAGAAACUAAUAUCCUUAAAAGAGUUGAAAUAUUGUCAACAGGUUCGGAAAAAUAUUCUCGUGCAGUCUGUUUGGUAAACAGGCGGUGGUAUCAGCUGAUCCAAUGUUUAAUCGAUUUGUAAUGCAAAAUGAAGGCAAACUAUUCCAGUCGUGCUAUCCAAAAUCUUUCAGAGACUUGGUGGGGAAAAAUGGGGUGAUCACAGUACAAGGGGAGCAUCAAAGGAAGCUUCAUUCUAUCGCCUCCAACCUGAUGCGGUUAGACAAGCUCAAGUCCCAAUUCUUGCACGAUAUACAAAUAGUUAUGCGCGAAAUCUUCAAUAAUUUGCACGACAAACAAGUCAUUCUACUGCAAGAUGUCUGUAGAAAGGUAAUACCAUAUUCUGAGUUUAUUCAUUUCUAUUCGACCCCUGUAUAGUAUACUUCUGCCUACUUUGAUUCUAUGUUCUUAGCGUUAAAUCAGUAUACAUGAUCGAGAAUUUCUAAUUUUCAUUUACCUUCAGAUAGCCAUUAACUUGAUGGUUAAUCAACUGCUGGGUGUGUCGUCUGAAUCAGAGGUGAACGAGAUUGCUCAGUUGUUCUCUGAUUUCGUUGAUGGUUGUCUUUCCGCUCCUAUCAAUUUGCCAGGAUUCUCUUAUCACACUGCAAUGAAGGUGACAACUUAAUUUACCAAAUAACAUUUAAACUCAUUAGACCAUUUGAGAUUCUGAAUUGUACCGUUCCUAAUUUAACAUAACAGGCACGUGAAAGUAUAAUAAGCAAGAUCAAUAGUUCAAUAAAGAUCCAUCGAAAACAAUCCUCUCCAGCAAUUGGCAAUGGUGUACUGAGAAGGCUACUAGAGGAAGAAAGCUUACCUGAUGAUGCUGUUGCAGACUUUAUUAUUAACCUCCUUUUUGCUGGCAACGAGACGACUGCUAAGACCAUGCUUUUUGCUGUUUAUUUCCUCACUCAAUGCCCCAGAGCCAUGAAGCAAUUGCUGGUACAGACAGAUUUUCUUUUUGAAUUUGUAAGUCUUUCUAUUAAGAUCAGGGAAAAGGGCGUCCUUUUCUUUCACUGACUUCCAGCACUUUUUUUUACUUCCUUCUGCACUUGAGAAUAGGAUGAGCAACAGAGUCUAAGGAGCCAAAGGAGUAUCUUGGAUGGAGAGAUGCUCGAAUGGCAAGAUUAUAAACCUAUGUCUUUUACUCAAUGUGUAUGUCAUCUGCUCUCGUCUUGUCUCUCCACCAUAAUUUUAGCCUCUUAAUCUAAGGCAUAAAUUUUCUUAUUUAUGCAUUGAACUGUUUAAGCAAUGUUCAAACAAUGAUAAUUGAAAAGGUGAUACUACGAUUCAAGAAUUAUCAAAACUCAAGACCCUUUUAAAACUAAAGUCUAAACCUUCGACUAGCAACUUGUUGCGACCUGCCCAGAAUGCAUGUCCCUUUAUUUUACCUUCGUACUGUUGAUAAUAAUGUAGGGCAAUCUGAAUACUUUAAUGAACUCCAAGGCACGAAAUGAAAUGUUAUCUUUUAAGAGAUGUUUCUCCCCUAUUCAACAAAGUCACAACGGGGUAUAAUAGAAAAUCUCUCUCAGGAUACAAUGGAGGCGUUUGAUUCAAAUUGUGAUCAAACCAAGAAGACACUCGAAUAUAACUGAUUGAUGCCAAGAGAAAGAAGGAAAAAUAAAUUGUUUUUAAUGUGUUUGCAAAUGAGAAUUCGUCCAGAAUUUAUAGACACUGAGGCAACUGUUUGAAUAGGUGUAUCCCUUGGAAGUGACUGUUAAAAAAUGAAUAGAUGCACCUAUUCAAAACUUUUGAAAAAUAAAAUUCUCUUUUGGGGGCGUUGCCCCCGACCCCCCACGGGGGGCGCUGCCCCCUCGACCCCCGCGACUUGACCGGGUAGGUCGAACCUUGUUGCGCAGUGGCAAACACUAAUCCGGGCGGCAAAUCAUUCGCAAAACAAAAAAUUAAACACAUGCAAAAUGAUGAAAAAUAUCUAACACGUACGACCAAUUCUUUCCUUUGCUUCUUGUGCAUUCGGUUAUCUAAAGAUACCUCACAAGUUGUCAUGGUAAAUUUUUACUUUAUCCUUCCAACAGGUAAUAGAUGAAACUCUUCGACUGGGAGGCAUUGCAAUUUGGUUGAUGAGAGAAG
RNAcentral lists this long non-coding RNA (2531 nucleotides) under Olea europaea subsp. europaea. The record is from RNAcentral. Lineage: Eukaryota; Viridiplantae; Streptophyta; Magnoliopsida; Lamiales; Oleaceae.